CCGCCGAUGCGGCAACAGUGGCGGCGGCGUCGCCUUUGGUGAUGCCGCCGCCGGCGGAGCUGUCGUCUUCUUCCCCCAUCCGUCCAUUGAUCAUCCUCCUCCACACGUCACUUCAACUGCCGCCGUUGCGGCAACAGCGGCGGCGGCGUCGCCUUUGGUGAUGCCGCCGCCGGCGGAGCUUUCAUCAUCUUCCCCCAUCCGUCCAUUGAUCAUCCUCCUCCACACGUCACUUCAACUGCCGCCGUUGCGGCAACAGUGGCGGCGGCGUCGCCUUUGGUGAUGCCGCCGCCGGCGGAGCUGUCGUCAUCUUCCCCCAUCCGUCCAUUGAUCAUCCUCCUCCACACGUCACUUCAACUGCCGCCGAUGCGGCAACAGGGGCGGCGGCGUCGCCUUUGGUGAUGUUGCCGCCGGCGGAGCUGUCGUCUUCUUCCCCCAUCCGUCCAUUGAUCAUCCUCCUCCACACGUCACUUCAACUGCCGCCGUUGCGGCAACAGUGGCGGCGGCGUCGCCUUUGGUGAUGCCGACGCCGGCGGAGCUGUCGUCUUCUUCCCCCAUCCGUCCAUUGAUCCUCCUCCUCCACACGUCACUUCAACUGCCGCUGUUGCGGCAACAGCGGCGGGGGCGUCGCCUUUGGUGAUGCCGCCGCCGGCGGAGCUGUCGUCUUCUUCCCCCAUCCGUCCAUUGAUCCUCCUCCUCCACACGUUACUUCAACUGCCGCCGAUGCGGCAACAGUGGCGGCGGCGUCGCCUUUGGUGAUGCCGCCGCCGGCGGAGCUUUCAUCAUCUUCCCCCAUCCGUCCAUUGAUCCUCCUCCUCCACACAUCACUUCAACUGCCGCCGUUGCGGCAACAGUGGCGGCGGCGUCGCCUUUGGUGAUGCCGCCGCCGGCGGAGCUGUCGUCUUCUUCCCGCAUCCGUCCAUUGAUCAUCCUCCUCCACACGUCACUUUAACAGCCGCCGAUGCGGCAACAGCGGCGGCGGCGUCGCCUUUGGUGAUGCCGCCGCCGGCGGAGCUGUCGUCUUCUUCCCCCACCCGUCCAUUGAUCCUCCUCCUCAACACGUUACUUCAACUGCCGCCGAUGCGGCAACAGCGGCGGCGGCGUCGCCUUUGGUGAUGCCGCCGCCGGCGGAGCUGUCGUCUUCUUCCCCCAUCCGUCCAUUGAUCAUCCUCCUCCACACGUCACUUCAACUGCCGCCGAUGCGGCAACAGCGGCGGCGGCGUCGCCUUUGGUGAUGCAGCCGCCGGCGGAGCUGUCGUCUUCUUCCCCCACCCGUCCAUUGAUCCUCCUCCUCCACACGUUACUUAAUAUAUUGUAUAUUGUGGUUACAGUGUUUCCGCCGCCGACGCGGCGGGUGCCCUCACGAGCCGUGAGGCUCCAGAGCACGCUGUUGACGCUCAUCAAAAACCUCAGUAAGGAAAGUAGCGAUUUUCCUCGGAUUGGUACUAAGAAAUACCUUGCGCAUAUCAGUAUCUUCAACGUUAAUCAGAAACCUAUUACGCAACUCAGUAUACGCCUCACACUCCAUAAGCACAUGAUAUUCAUCCUCAACCUUACCCGACGUACAGACCUGACACGUACGGCACUCUCUCGGCCUAUGGUGUCCUUUGUUGACCUCCAAAGGCCAACAACAAAGACGGAAUUUGGCAACCAUACGCAACUGGUUGACCGGCAAAUAAACACGCAAAUAGCCUGUGGGAUCGGAGCCCUCUCUUGCUGGUGAAGGGGAGCCCAUCCAGUUAUGAUACCUGCAAAGCGAAACCCCUUUACCUUGGAACACACGCGGAUCACCCCCUUGGCUGAACUGAUCCCAGUCACUUAAAAGGAACGCAGAUAACCUCUCCAGAACCUCACCCACUCGAAUCAACUGAGACGAGUAUACAUCUACCUUCUGAGAAACGGAGUCACACGCCGGCCACUCAUGGCCCAACCAACGCAAAAUGAUGAGCACUUUAGACGACCAGCAAUCCACUUUGAGAUCAGACAGAAGAGCCAGACGGAGAUCAUCUACUAACACGUCAUGAUAGACCGACCCACGGGACUUGACUAUCUUAUUCCAGAAACACAACGCAAGGCGUAACCAAAAGUACUGCAAAGGCAACUGAGACAGCUCCCUGUACAACAGCUUGUAAGGUACCUGCUUGAGCCCAGCACAACGUAAACAGAAGUCACGCUGGACCUGGACCAUACCAUCUUCCAAAGCCAAAUCAAAAUAUGACUUACCAGCGGGUAAAACACCUUAACCUAACCGCAGGACGGAGACAAUCCUAUCAGGACCCCAGACCUCAGCACCAUAACAGAGAACCGAACGGACCUGGGUGUCGAACGCUUGAAGCCGAACGGCAGGAGCCCACACCCUGUUCUCAUCCAACCGAUUACUAAGACCGAACAUAGCCCGUCGCCCUGCUUCCAAAAGUUCGUUGACACAACUCGCAAACGGGGACGCAGGGCCCCAAUAGAGACCCAAGUACCUAACGCGACCACACCAGUUAAUAGGACUAGGAACAAGUAAACUACCAACCAUGGGUGGGUGCCAAAGCGACCCAUCAGUACGGAGAGGGAGCAUGAGCCUCACCCCCUCAAACGCCCUCUUAACGACAUCAACGGAAGCAGCCACAACAAGGGCCUCACAUUUCCGAACGUUGCAGCGCAUACCAAAAGCAGCACAGAACUCAAUAAGCAGCUUAAGCGAGAACUGGAGGCGUGCCAACGAGGUCGCGAACAAAGUAAGGUCGUCUGCAUAGAACAACAGAGGCAACCGACGAUCAUUAAUGACAGGACAUUCGUGUGCACGUGUGUUGAACCAUUCGUCCAUACCAUCCCUCGCUUCAAGGUAGUCGGCAAUAACCUCAAUGAAGAACCCGAACAAAUUGGGACUCAUGGGACACCCCUGCUUCACGCCCUGCAGAGAGGCAAAGAUGGACCCUAGGCGACCGUUAACCUUGACCCGCUGGAGAACACGUUCGUAGCUGGCUUUAAGGGCCGCCAACAUGGGUCCAUGCACACCCCUCUCCUCUAGACGCUGCCACAGGCUCGCCCGGGGCACUCUAUCAAAGGCUUUCUCAAAAUCCACCUGACACGCAUACAGGGCCUGAUUGCUGCCGGGCCGCUCAUAACGACUUUUAAGAUGACGAACAACGAACAACUGAUGAACUGUACUGCGCUUUUGACGGGACCCAGCCUGAAAACGGCACCGGACACCAUCUUUAUCCCCGAAAGCUGCCAGCCGCCUGUCGAGAACCGUGGCAUAGCAUUUGGCAAUGGCGCAUCCCACAGCUAGACCCCUGUAGUUGUCCUUGACCCUGGGGUCGCCUUUCUUAAAUAACGGACUGAGAGACGCCACGCAAAACUGGUCAGGCACAUCCCCUGUAUCCCAAAUGUGCUGGAAAAGGUCUCGAAUCGCAGGGGCAAUAACAUUGACAGACACCCUGUCCUCAUCACCUUCACGAGGGAUUCGCUUGGCAUACUUGUAGCACUCGGCCGGAACCAUACCCAGACCCGGGGACGCCCAUUAGACANNNNNNNNNNNNNNNNNNNNNNNNNNNNNNNNNNNNNNNNNNNNNNNNNNAACAGCGGCGGCGGCGUCGCCUUUGGUGAUGCCGCCGCCGGCGGAGCUGUCGUCUUCUUCCCCCACCCGUCCAUUGAUCCUCCUCCUCAACACGUUACUUCAACUGCCGCCGAUGCGGCAACAGCGGCGGCGGCGUCGCCUUUGGUGAUGCCGUCGCCGGCGGAGCUUUCAUCAUCUUCCCCCAUCCGUCCAUUGAUCAUCCUCCUCCACACGUCACUUCAACUGCCGCCGUUGCGGCAACAGUGGCGGCGGCGUCGCCUUUGGUGAUGCCGCCGCCGGCGGAGCUUUCAUCAUCUUCCCCCAUCCGUCCAUUGAUCAUCCUUCUCCACACGUUACUUCAACUGCCGCCGUUGCGGCAACAGCGGCGGCGGCCUCGCCUUUGGUGAUGCCGCCGCCGGCGGAGCUGUCGUCUUCUUCCCCCAUCCGUCCAUUGAUCAUCCUCCUCCACACGUCACUUCAACUGCCGCCGAUGCGGCAACAGCGGCGGCGGCGUCGCCUUUGGUGAUGCCGCCGCCGGCGGAGCUGUCGUCUUCUUCCCCCAUCCGUCCAUUGAUCCUCCUCCUCCACACGUCACUUCAACUGCCGCCGAUGCGGCAACAGCGGCGGCGGCGUCGCCUUUGGUGAUGCCGCCGCCGGCGGAGCUUUCAUCAUCUUCCCCCAUCCGUCCAUUGAUCAUCCUCCUCCACACGUCACUUCAACUGCCGCCGAUGCGGCAACAGCGGCGGCGGCGUCGCCUUUGGUGAUGCCGCCGCCGGCGGAGCUGUCGUCUUCUUCCCCCAUCCGUCCAUUGAUCCUCCUCCUCCACACGUUACUUCAACUGCCGCCGAUGCGGCAACAGUGGCGGCGGCGUCGCCUUUGGUGAUGCCGCCGCCGGCGGAGCUGUCGUCUUCUUCCCCCAUCCGUCCAUUGAUCAUCCUCCUCCACACGUCACUUCAACUGCCGCCGAUGCGN
This 4516-nucleotide long non-coding RNA is filed under the name Volvox carteri. RNAcentral describes it as "long non-coding RNA (VCAR_LNC003451)". Lineage: Eukaryota; Viridiplantae; Chlorophyta; Chlorophyceae; Chlamydomonadales; Volvocaceae. The record is from RNAcentral.